RNAcentral lists this ribosomal RNA (468 nucleotides) under uncultured bacterium. Its description in RNAcentral is "partial 16S ribosomal RNA". It matches the Rfam family "Bacterial small subunit ribosomal RNA", at positions 28 to 507 of the family's 1533-position model. The record is from RNAcentral.
GACGAACGCUGGCGGCGUGCUUAACACAUGCAAGUCGAACGGAAAGGCCUUGUUUUCGUGGGGUGUUCGAGUGGCGAACGGGUGAGAAACACGUGAGUAACCUGCCUUUGAUUCUGGGAUAUCUUCAGGAAACUGGGGCUAAUAGGGGUAAUGAGCUCCUGCGGCAUGGUGGGGGUUGGAAAGUUUCGGCGGUUGGGGUUGGACUCGCGGCUUAUCAGCUUGUUGGUGGGGUAGUGGCUUACCAAGGCUUUGACGGGUAGCGGGCCUGAGAGGGGGGCCGGCCACAUGGGGACUGCGAUACGGCCCAGACUCCUACGGGAGGCAGCAGUGGGGAAUAUUGCACAAUGGGCGGAAGCCUGAUGCAGCGACGCCGCGUGCGGGAUGACGGCCUUCGGGUUGUAAACCGCUUUCGCCUGUGACGAAGCGUGAGUGACGGUAAUGGGUAAAGAAGCACCGGCUAACUACGUG